GCAAAAAAGACAAAACAAAAAGACACUUAGAUUCACAGUACAGACAGAAACAGAGAGGGACAGGGAAAGGGCUACAAGUGCAUUCAUCUGCCUGAUUUAUGAAGACUGACUCUAAGUUUAGAGGACAGGGAAAAAUGGCUAUUUUUUUUUUUUACAUUCCUCUGAAAAAUGUACAAUGGAAACAGAGGUCUUCUACUGGAAAAUGUGGGGUGUAACCACACCAGUAUGUGUUUGACUAAGAGUGGAGCUGGCAAGCACAGGGAACAAACUUGUUCUUCAUAGCCAACAGCUCAAAACAACAUAUAUUUCAACAUUCAGUAAGGGAGCCUCACAAAGCAAAAAUAUAAGAGUCACCCAUUGUCACUGCAUCACAUUUGUAUUGUCAUACACUUUCUGUCUAUGACUGUACAGAAUAAAACCUAAUUCACACCUUCCUGAAGUCUCUUCCUCUGCAAAGCAAACAGAACAGGUGAUUAAAACUGGUAAAAACGCUGAAUGGAGAAUUUUCAUGUUGCAAAUUAGUGUUUCUUCAAUGCUCUUGUUGCAGACAGGCUUCAAACUACGGUGGGCGACAUGACAAAAGCAAAACGUGAUUGGCCCUAUCUACAGCCAGUACUCGGUCUGUCCAUUCUGGGCUAGAAACAUGGCAGUGCAACUUGGCGAUUUCAUAAUGAAGUACCCACUCCCUAUGUACAUAUAUCGACUCAUUUGAAGGUAAUGAAAACACGCUAAUUCUUAUUUUAAGGUGAUUAUACACAAAGGAAAACACAUUAUAGCCCAUAGCAUUUCCCCUAUAUAGCCCCCUAAAUCCUACACACUGGCCCUUUAAGGCUUAAAGUUAUGCAUAAUUAAGGCUGGGGUAGCUUGAGUGACACGCUGUCUGCGAGGCGUCGCUACAGUCAGUCUAGUCCACCCCUCGCUCCUCCACAACUCCUCCCUCCUAUCCAAAUAUGGUCACUUCAGGCUCCAAAAAUACAAGAUGGUGACAUCUGAAAUGCUGAACUUGGGGCUUCGAAACAGGAGUCCACAAACCGAUGGGUAAUGUCAAGGCUUCUCUGUACUGGACCAUCAACCAUCAGCUCUUCCUGAGGCAGACUCGUUGUGCCCUGCUCCACUCCAUUCACCUCCAGCCAUUGUAUCUAGAGUCCAGGACAAGCUCAACAAAGGCUCAUUCCUCUACUCAUCAGCACUUCUCCAUCUUCUCCACAUCCUCUUCUCAUCCCCUCUUUACCACCUCUACCAACACCACCAGCGUCUAGACCCCGGGGGGUUCCCUAUUCGACUAUGGAUUCAUCACCUUCCUUAAAUCAUUCCAUCUCUAAUCACCAAAGACUUUUCACAUUUUUCUGUCAUAUGCACAUGCUAAUAAAUAUUCUUUUCACUAUAAAAAUGAGUCUCUCCUGAUUGAAAUGGUGUACGUGCAAAAGUCUUAAUUUGUAAAGGAACUAGGAACUUAAGGUUUCAAAUAACUGGAGCUGAGUGAAGAGUACAAUAUUCCCUUUGAAGUGUGGUGGAGUAGAGGUAGAAAGUGGCAUGAGAUCAAAAUACUUAAAAGUAAAAGUACAUCAAAUUUGUACUUUAGUACACUACUUGAGUAAAUGUUCUAAAUUAUAUUCCACUCCUGGCAGCAAAGUGAUGCAGAAUAACUGAAUUACAGUAAUUGGGUUCGAUGGACCAAGCAUAAUAGUAUUUCUAUAGGCCUGAAAUUUAGAAAUCCAAUCAUUGUAAUUACUCCUGAAAUGUUUCUCAGAUGUGAAACUUAUGUUUCCUCACAUUUGACAAGAAUUUGUGGACUGUGAAAAUGAGAUGUUAAGAUGAUUUCCCCUUACCUAAGAGAGGAGCAAAAAUAAGACAACAUGAUAAAUCCUGGAAAUCAAUGGGUGUUAACAAAAUAGGAAUAAAUUAUGGACAAGAACAAAAAUAAGAGAAAAUCUGUGUGCACUAACUGCACAGAAAAUAAUGCAGCUUUAAGUUCACUUCAUUCUCUGCCUUCAUGCAUGCAGAGGGACCAUAUGAGCCAAUUUUCAAACACUGGCAAAUGGAACAGGACGUAACAGAAUAAUAAAACAAAUAUGCAAUACGCUCAGCAGUGAUUAGCACAGAUGGACAUGAAAAAGUCGUGCUCGUCCAUCAACUUUCUAACACAACAGAAACCUACAGCUGGCUGCAUUCGCUCACCGGUGAUUGCUAUUUGUUGCUUAAUGCGUAACAGCUGUCCGAUUGUAAACUUGGAGAAGUAAAUACUGUUUAAAGCCAUGGAUAGCUGAUGUCACAUUUACUAAUGGUGUCCUUCUUCUUCUUUCUAAUGUGAGUCAGAUGGAGACUUACAGGGUUCCAGAAACCAAAAUAUUAUAUAUAGUUUUUGUUGGCAAUACUGAAAGAGAAAGACAAAGAGAAAUGAAAGAACCUCAGUCCAUUUCUAGGUAAAGGCUGAAUCAGCAGAGAUGAUGCACUGGGUAACACACCUGAUCACGUCAUAGUUCUUAUGUGAAAACUAUUGACAAGGCAUUUAGUCAAUAAGAUGGUUUCUUUCUACCUGGCCAGGCAUGACAGAAAAUAUUUUUCUUUUUUUUGUAGUUUGGGUAAAUUGACCUUAUAAAACAGUCUCUGAGGAGAGACCAGGCAUAACACUGAUUCUGUGUUAGCAGUUAUUUGUCCUCACAUGGCUUCCAAUAUGAUUGUUUUGGGAGACGGUGCAGGAUAGGCGUGCCAAAAUACAACAGGAAAGGAAGAAGAAAUGUGGCGGCUGAUAAGAAAGCCAAUGGAACUUCAAUGUUUGGAAAAGAUAAUUGCCGCUCCAGUUUAGCUUUGCUGGUCAAAACAACUAUAAUGUGUUUCUCUAUGAUGUGUUCUGAUGAGCUGUAAAAAUUACUGUCUCCCUGUUGUGGGUCAUUACAGCCUGGCAGUGUCCUUGCCUUCUAUGUUUUGAGCUGCUGUCAGAGAGUUCUGACUGUUGGUUAUCUACACUUGUACUGGCUGCCACUCCUUUACCCGCCCAAUUAUAUAAUAAGUAGCCCAUCAGAACACCACCCCAUCUGCCAAAACUGCCCAUGUGUUGUUGCCUGAUAUCAGACAGCAAUGUGAACCUGUUUCACUCCGUUUCCAUCUUCUGUUUGAAAUUGUUUCCACUCUAAUGGAUUUUCGUGGGGAGGGGGAUUUGAUUUUCUCUAACCAAUCACUGGAGACCAACGUAUCUGCCUGAAUCUAACGUCAUGUUAAGUCCACACUCGUGCAUAGCCAUGCCAACAUGUGUGUGUUGCCUGGGUUUUAAGAGUGGAGCGGAGCAACAUAAAAAGAAAUGAUGUCAGGUGACAUUCACAAGAUGUACGCUGCUAUUCUUCUAAAUCAAGAUGUCAACAUGCUUGGCAUUCUUGUAAUUAAUCCUCAUUGGUUCAGGUGCAACGGUGCUGCUGAUUGGCUUAUCAAGUCCCCCUUUGACGCUUAUUGGUUAUUUUUUAUUUUGACCGAGAAACAACUGUUUCAUGUCAGACAAAUCAGUCAACAGACAGCCAAUCUCUAUCGACUGAAAGCUAAUCAUUAGACGAUAGCUGAGGGUUUCCGAGAUUUGUUCUCCACAUAAACUGUUUACCUGCAACCCCCCUGAAUUCUGUGUGACGUUGCAAUUUUGUCCAGUCACCGCAACUUGACCGCAAGUUAGACCAUUUAAAAUGGGUAAAGGGUCAUUUCACUGUAAAGCUGUGCACAACAUAUUGAUUCACUCAUCCCCCAGAUCUCUCUGUUUAUCAUAAGACUGCUGUUGUGCGACUGGACAUGAAGUGGAUGUGCUUACGAUUACGAUACGGCUAACAAUUCCGAACAGUUAUUUACAAGUUUAACGUGUAGUGUAAAAGUUUGUGCUUAGUAAAUCAAGUAACAAAGUUAAGAUAUCUAAGUGAUUGGGAAACAAAAAAGAGCCAUAUAAUCAUGUACAAGGCAUUAUAAAAGCUUUGAAUCUGUAUUGGAUACUGUCGAGGUCAUUUACUCCUUUGAUCAUUCACUCCUUUGAAUCUGUUGUCAAGGUCAUUUACUGAAAGAACACACCAUGUCCUGUUUAAUGAUGAAACACAUACUCAGGUGCUGUAACUAGCACACACUUGCUCACAUAUUGUACUCCAAGGUUUUAUUUUGCAUGAAACUAGAAACACUGUGGGCCGUGUAGAAGUCCCUGGAAUUCACAUCUUGCAUGAAACUAGACGCAUUGUGGACUGUAUAGAGAGUCCCCAGAAUGCACAUAUUUUUAAGAAAUAGAGCGAGAAUGGAACCGAACCUAAGGGAAGGAAUUUUGGGAAAUUCCAGGCUACAUCACACCAUUAAAAACGGCCCAAUCAGAAUUGGACACAAAGAAGUUCUCCACCAAUAGAAUUGGGUUCGAGUAGGAAGUAUUAGCAAAAAAAGUGGAGACUCGUCUGGAUCUCCACCAGCAUAUAAGCUAGGGUUCUGAACGCAGUUCUUUAGUCACACUCCGGAGUCUGACUCACUAAGUUGUAUGUGUUAAAGCCUGUUGACACAUUAAACUUGAUUGCAUCGGACCUUGCCUGUUUCCAGUGUUUCUUUAAGUAUUUGCCAGCUGAACCUAAGAGAUCAAAUCGACAUUUGAAGACGACUAACAAGAG
Molecule: long non-coding RNA, 4613 nt
Organism: Epinephelus fuscoguttatus (brown-marbled grouper)
Lineage: Eukaryota; Metazoa; Chordata; Actinopteri; Perciformes; Serranidae
Exons: 3
Source: RefSeq, a predicted model, not a curated record